This is a non-coding RNA of Aspergillus steynii IBT 23096, 136 nucleotides long. The record is from the annotation of a RefSeq genome assembly. Lineage: Eukaryota; Fungi; Ascomycota; Eurotiomycetes; Eurotiales; Aspergillaceae.
GGCAAGAUGGCCGAGUGGUUAAGGCGGCAGAUUGUAAGUCCGACAGAGCCGAGAUCACAAAAGUUAUCAGCCAUUAACAUUAGAAUAGUAAGCCCUGCUGGCGAAAGCUUCGCGAGUUCGAAUCUCGCUCUUGUCA